GGGCCCGCACAAGCGGUGGAGCAUGUGGUUUAAUUCGAUGCAACGCGAAGAACCUUACCAGCCCUUGACAUCCUCGGAACGACCUAGAGAUAGGUUGGUGCCUUCGGGAGCCGAGAGACAGGUGUUGCAUGGCUGUCGUCAGCUCGUGUCGUGAGAUGUUGGGUUAAGUCCCGUAACGAGCGCAACCCUCGUCCCUAUUUGCCAGCACUUCGGGUGGGAACUCUAGGGAGACUGCCGGUGACAAACCGGAGGAAGGUGGGGAUGACGUCAAAUCAUCAUGCCCCUUAUGUCUUGGGCUUCACGCAUGCUACAAUGGCCGGUACAGAGGGCUGCAAUACCGCAAGGUGGAGCGAAUCCCAAAAAGCCGGUCUCAGUUCGGAUUGAGGUCUGCAACUCGACCUCAUG
Molecule: ribosomal RNA, 405 nt
Filed under: uncultured bacterium
Lineage: Bacteria
Description: bacterial SSU rRNA
Rfam family: Bacterial small subunit ribosomal RNA
Source: RNAcentral